This 240-nucleotide unclassified non-coding RNA is filed under the name soil metagenome. RNAcentral's name for it is "partial contains 5.8S ribosomal RNA, internal transcribed spacer 2, and large subunit ribosomal RNA". The record is from RNAcentral.
AACCAUUCUCACCUGCGGCUAGACCUGCGGAAGGAUCAUUAACCUUUCAAAUCAGGGUGCGGCGCGGCCCCCGAGGAGCGGAAACAAUCCUUGGGAGGUAUGCGGGGGCUUCGAGCCCCCCAUUUACGCACGCACGACUGCCAUCCUUACUUUACGAGCACCUUCUGUUCUCCCUCGGCGGGGCAACCUGCCGUUGGAACCGAAUAAACUCUUUUUGCAUCUAGCAUUACCUGUUCCGAA